CAAGCAGCCACUCUCACUGUGGUUCCCAAAGUGUGGUCCGGAUUCAGCUCUCUGUGGGGGCGUUUCCAGAUUCUAAACCAGUGUUCUUGAUCAUAACCACCCUGAACAGUGUGGUCAGCUGGAGCCGCAGCAUCACAGAGAAGUAGAGGAAAAAGCUGGACGAAGUCAUCAGAAAAGCCAGUUCUGUCCUGGGCUGUUCUUUGGACUCGGUAGGUAGGUGACAAAAGGGUCCUGGCAAAACUGACAUCCAUGUUGGACCAUGGGUCACACCCCCUGCAGGACACCCUGUCUGCUCUGGAGUCCAUCUUUGUGACAGGCUGAUCCAUCCUCGCUGUGCCAUGGAGAGACACAAUCAAGAACACUUGCUACCUCAAUAACAACCUCCUCCACGGGUCUGUUUUCCACCUUCCCAGUAGCAAGACUAAGAACAUGGCCUGAGCCAUUUCACUGCACAAGCUCACAUCAUUUAUUUAAAAAUACACUGCAGCUAUGGUAUGUGUCUAUCCACAAACAUGUUUACUUGAGAUAAUCAACAGGCAUCACUGUGGACAGUGUCUAGCCUGUUUGGCUUUGGAAAGAUAUUCACCAGCUCCCAGUGGAGGGUGUUGACAGGGAGGUCUGUCAGUUUUCCAAAGAAAGACACAUUGCUGUUGUCUGUUGAUCCUGUGUGCAUCAUCCAACCAGUUAUCAUUCUCAUUGCAUUGCUGUGGCAGCACCAGAAGCUUCAGCAUCAGCUGUCUUUAAACCAAACUGACAGUAAUUGUAAAUUAGCUGUCACUGUAAACUCUGCACACAACACGUUUGUUUUUUUUAGGUGACUGAAUGAAAUGAUGCUAAUUGCACAUUUCUAUGUUACAUAAACAACAAGAUAAAGCAUUAAAAAAAGCUACUGAUAUUCUUAAAAACCGGUGCUGAUUAAUGUGGAAAUUGAUUCUGGGUACACUGCUUGAUUUAAAAAUAUUUUUCCAGAGCCAACACUAUUCAUUUAUUUAUAUUUCACUGAGCCCCAUUUGACUAUGUCUGUACUAGAGAAGGAUUAGUAGUCUUAACAACACAUUAUUAGUGUGCUCACUGUACCUUGGCUACAGAAUCGUUAAUCACAAGAAGUAUGAUUUCGCAACUCUUAAAUCUUACUAAGUUGUAGAAACUGUGAACAAGCCUUAAAUGAGUUAUAGCUUCUGGUAUUUAUUAAUCAGAUCUUUCACUGAUUUUUGACAAAUUCAUGCAGCGAUGAGCAAAGUCAGUGCUCAUAUCACAUAUGGUCCAAUAUGUGUUUUAGCUGCUACUAGAUCAUUAUCCAAGAGGUUAAAUGAAUAGCUUUUCUCAGCUCAGAGCCUAAUAUCACAUUACAUUACAAUUUAGCACGCUGAGUUUUGCAACUCUGUGUCAUGCCAUGUUGUAUGGCUGGGUGUCACUUUCGUGAGUGAUUUAUGGGUAUGCAAAUGAGGCUGUCUGGUGAUAGAAGGAGAUGGGCUGCCUUUGCCCAGUGGGCCCCGGAGCAAAGACUGAAGACUGCGUGGGUGUUAGUCAGUCCUUAACUGCUGACACAGGCACGGAGCUGGCAGAGAUUCACAGAGCAAGAUGGAAAGAUGGCCUUCACAGGUCCUCACACUGACUGAUGAGAUCAAGUAGAAAGUAGGCCAAGCCAGACAAGUGUCAGGCAAACAGACACCCAAAGACAGAGUGAGAGAGACAAACACCCUCCAAUCACACAUAGAGCUGAGAGAGUGGAAAGUGGCGGCAUCCAGCCGGCUUGUUUGAUGUCUGAGUUCAAUAUGUCCAAAUCUGUUUGUCUAAAGCGUAAAGAGGCUGCUGAGUCUUAGAGCAUGGUAGCCCAGGGGAUCUCUGUAGUAAAGAGAGGCCAAGUCAAGGUUUUCUAAAUUCACUAGAGUGGAAAAAAGUUCACUUUGUUCUUGUAGAUAUCCGGACUGUGGUGACAUUUUGAUCAAUGUGCCUAUACCUUCCUGCAGCUUCCCGUUAUGUUGCUUGAAUAGUGAUUAUCUGUUAUCAUGCUGGCACCAAACAGCACCAUUUGUCAUACAGUGUCCCUCAUCUGGAC
Molecule: long non-coding RNA, 2059 nt
Organism: Melanotaenia boesemani (Boeseman's rainbowfish)
Lineage: Eukaryota; Metazoa; Chordata; Actinopteri; Atheriniformes; Melanotaeniidae
Exons: 3
Source: RefSeq, a predicted model, not a curated record